Long non-coding RNA from Oreochromis niloticus (Nile tilapia), 714 nucleotides. RefSeq lists it as uncharacterized. Lineage: Eukaryota; Metazoa; Chordata; Actinopteri; Cichliformes; Cichlidae. The record is from RefSeq and is a predicted model, not a curated record. The transcript has 3 exons.
UGAGUGGCAGUAUGAAUGGAGAACAACAAGCUCAAAAACACCUCCCACACACAGUGAAUACAACAUCAGCAGGGCUUCAUUUUCCUACAACGGGCAAUAUUGGUGUAAGGGUAGAAGAGACGUGUUCUUCUCAACAGCUUGGAGUGAUGCUUUUACACUAAAAGUCUCAAACAAACCCAGACCCACAAUUACUGCUGAUAGGAGAACAAUACCAGCUGGAGGCAAUGCAACACUCAGCUGCUCUGUGGGGAGCUACAAUGAGUGGAAAUACUCCUGGUUCAGACGUGCCUCAGUCUUUUCAGAAAUUCAGGUGAUUAGAAACAAAGAACCAGAUCAAAUGAUCACUGUCACACAGGGAGGCAUCUACUACUGCAAGGGAGGGAGAGGAAACCCCGUUUUCUUCACAGAGGACAGUGAUCCAAUCACUAUUGAAAAAAGAGUUUCCAACAAAGCAGUUGUGUCCCUGGAGCCCAGCUGGCCUCUGAUAUUCAGUGGCGAGAAGAUCACUGUUAGAUGUCAGAUUUAUUUAGGUAGACGCACUGAGUGGGAGUAUGAGUGGAGCAAACCCGACUCAAGCACAGUUCUGGCAAAUAAUGCAUCCAUCAAUCUUAAUGCAUCUGUGAUCAGCAGUGGAAGCUACAGGUGUAUGGGUAAAAACAAACAGGAGCUGUACUCUGUGACAGAGUGGAGUGAUGUCAUCACACUGACAGUCUC